This 253-nucleotide ribosomal RNA is filed under the name uncultured bacterium. Its description in RNAcentral is "partial 16S ribosomal RNA". It matches the Rfam family "Bacterial small subunit ribosomal RNA", at positions 524 to 776 of the family's 1533-position model. The record is from RNAcentral.
UACGAAGGGGGCUAGCGUUGCUCGGAAUCACUGGGCGUAAAGGGUGCGUAGGCGGGUCUUUAAGUCUGGGGUGAAAUCCUGGGGCUCAACUCCAGAACUGCCUUUGAUACUGAAGAUCUUGAGUUCGGGAGAGGUGAGUGGAACUGCGAGUGUAGAGGUGAAAUUCGUAGAUAUUCGCAAGAACACCAGUGGCGAAGGCGGCUCACUGGCCCGAUACUGACGCUGAGGCACGAAAGCGUGGGGAGCAAACAGG